GAUGAACGCUGGCGGCGUGCCUAAUACAUGCAAGUCGAGCGAACAGACGAGGAGCUUGCUCCUCUGACGUUAGCGGCGGACGGGUGAGUAACACGUGGAUAACCUACCUAUAAGACUGGGAUAACUUCGGGAAACCGGAGCUAAUACCGGAUAAUAUAUUGAACCGCAUGGUUCAAUAGUGAAAGACGGUUUUGCUGUCACUUAGAGAUGGAUCCGCGCCGCAUUAGCUAGUUGGUAGGGUAACGGCUUACCAAGGCAACGAUGCGUAGCCGACCUGAGAGGGUGAUCGGCCACACUGGAACUGAGACACGGUCCAGACUCCUACGGGAGGCAGCAGUAGGGAAUCUUCCGCAAUGGGCGAAAGCUUGACGGAGCAACGCCGCGUGAGUGAUGAAGGUCUUCGGAUCGUAAAACUCUGUUAUUAGGGAAGAACAAAUGUGUAAGUAACUAUGCACGUCUUGACGGUACCUAAUCAGAAAGCCACGGCUAACUACGUG
This 497-nucleotide ribosomal RNA is filed under the name uncultured bacterium. RNAcentral's name for it is "partial 16S ribosomal RNA". It matches the Rfam family "Bacterial small subunit ribosomal RNA", at positions 28 to 507 of the family's 1533-position model. The record is from RNAcentral.